AAGUCGAACGGUAACAGGAAGCAGCUUGCUGCUUUGCUGACGAGUGGCGGACGGGUGAGUAAUGUCUGGGAAACUGCCUGAUGGAGGGGGAUAACUACUGGAAACGGUGGCUAAUACCGCAUAACGUCGCAAGACCAAAGAGGGGGACCUUCGGGCCUCUUGCCAUCAGAUGUGCCCAGAUGGGAUUAGCUUGUUGGUGAGGUAACGGCUCACCAAGGCGACGAUCCCUAGCUGGUCUGAGAGGAUGACCAGCCACACUGGAACUGAGACACGGUCCAGACUCCUACGGGAGGCAGCAGUGGGGAAUAUUGCACAAUGGGCGCAAGCCUGAUGCAGCCAUGCCGCGUGUAUGAAGAAGGCCUUCGGGUUGUAAAGUACUUUCAGCGGGGAGGAAGGUGUUGUGGUUAAUAACCGCAU
RNAcentral lists this ribosomal RNA (417 nucleotides) under Salmonella enterica. RNAcentral's name for it is "bacterial SSU rRNA". It matches the Rfam family "Bacterial small subunit ribosomal RNA", at positions 59 to 472 of the family's 1533-position model. The record is from RNAcentral. Lineage: Bacteria; Pseudomonadati; Pseudomonadota; Gammaproteobacteria; Enterobacterales; Enterobacteriaceae.